Molecule: long non-coding RNA, 862 nt
Organism: Pomacea canaliculata
Lineage: Eukaryota; Metazoa; Mollusca; Gastropoda; Architaenioglossa; Ampullariidae
Exons: 3
Source: RefSeq, a predicted model, not a curated record
UCCAGUCAACCCUAGGCCUAGACUAGGGUCCGGGUUUAUCUUUAUACACCCCGACACUAUUAUCAUGGACAUUCAUGAACCCCUCUGGUCUGUGGUACUCUGAGGCAUCAAAUAUGCACAGAUGCGUGCGCAAGCGAAUCCACCCGAAGCUGGGAUACUUGUGCUUCAGGUUAGGAAGACGAUGUAGGAGGGAAAAAGGGCGAAAUUGUUCCUCCCACAGGAAAAUUGCAGUGACCCCUGGAGCUAUGUGUAGAACAAACACGAGACGCCUUUUCCGCCCCGUGGCUGGCGCUGCCAACCUCAAGUCAGGGGAGAGGAGAUUACUUUCAAGCCGUCAAGGAUUUCGUGUUUACCUCCGUCCCCACAUCAUUUGCUCUGCUGACUUUUCACCUCUCAAAUCACGUGAACUAAGGAUGCCUCUUGCGCGGGGAAGGGAAAUAAGCUUCAAGAACUUCAACUCCUCACGUUCCAAGCUCUUACACUAGCGGACGGGAGAUGGUUGCUUCCCGUUUCACUUAUUUUCUCUCUCUAACCCAUUGAAGCUGUAUGUCAAUGUUUCGUUUGCCGCAGUACUAUAUACAUAAAUGGGACUUGCAGGAUCUGUUGCUACGUGUCUCUAGUUUCUUCAUUUUUAUGUGAAUGUGCAUUUAAUGAAUAUGUGUGUAUCUGGGUUGAGAGAGUAAGUGGGCAGGGAAAGCAAGUGAGUUGGAUGGAUGAGAAAGGGAAAGGGUGAGUGGGUGAUAAAAAUAAUGUGAGUAAAACAGUUAAGAAUACAGUCACUCCAGCAAUAGAUUCAUAUCCAAACACACACAACCCAGGUACACACAGCUCUACCAGUGUGUGGACACUCAUUGUCCACAGC